CCCCAUCAGAGACGCAACGCAACUCACACUUUCCUUCCUCUAUCUAAAAAUUAAAUAUACCAACAAACCAAAACGAAAAGCAAAAUUACAUAAAUCCCAAAAACUCACAUUCCAAGUGCCUCUCUAACCUUUUCCUUUUAUCGUCUCCCCUUUCAACUCCAACUUCAUCUUCUCCGCAUUUCUCUAGAUCCGCUGCUUCGCUCCUCUCCCUACCUUUUUACUCCACCUACGUGUCCAGAUCCCACUCCACCGCCUCCCUUCUCCGUCAAUCUCGCCCGUCCACUUUUUCUCUUCUCUCGAGGUCUCCUCGUUUCAAAUUCAGAUCUCUUCCACUUCCUUUCAAAACUGCUUCUCAAAAAUCUCAACUUCCUCUUCCACUCACUGUCUCCCUCAGAUCCACAUUUUCUCGGGAACAAGCAUCUCGAACUUUCUUCUUCUUCUUCAACAAUGGCGAGGUUCAUCGAGCUCUGCUCGCCUCUGCUUCUUGCCUUUCUCCUAGUCCAAUUCUCCAUUGUAUCUUCUUCGUCUCCACCACAGCCCUCGCCGACUCCAUCGCCUCAACCCGCUGCCGAUUCACCUUCGCCGAAAUCUCCAUCGCCGAUUUCCCUUCCUCCAUCUCCGUCGAACGCUCCAGUGAACUCACCACAUCCUUCUUCACCUCCGGCGCCACCGCAAUCAUCUCCGUCUCAAUCUCCGUCGGCCGAUGACACGCCUCCAGUUCCUUCUCCAGCGCCGUCGAAUCCGAGCGACAUCAACCACAGCGACGUCAACGCGGACGGAGACGGAGCUGAGAACUCCUCUGGAGGAAUGAGCCCGGGAAAGAAGGCAGGGGUCGUACUUGGAGUGAUCGUUGGGGUUGGCGUGGUAGGGCUUGCAGGCUUUGUCUACAAGAAACGUCAGGAUAACGUUCGUCGAUCUCAGUACGGAUACGCCGCCAGGAGAGAGAUUCUCUGAAGAACUACUCAUAGUCUCUCAUACGCUAAAGCUCUUAGAGGUUACUGUGAAAUGUUUAAUUUCUCGUAUUUUUUUAGUUAAUUUCUGUGCUUGCUUAGUAUAUGAUUGAAUGUAGGUUUUGGCGAUGGUGAUUCAAUUUGAUUCUUCAUUCUUUGGCGCGCCGGCGGUGCUAGAGUUGGUGGUAGUUAGAAUUUUGGGAUGAGUUAUUGGCGUAAAAUACUAAAUUAGUCAAUAUGAUCAUUGAUGUAUUGCUUUUCUAUUUUAGAAUGAUAUAAUAAUUGGAUUUACUGAUUUAGCAUUCAGUAUGCUCGUUUUUCUCACUGUUGACUUGAUUUGCUCUAUCUGUUUAUGCUAUCUAAUGUUUGGGUACUGAGAAAAUCG
Molecule: long non-coding RNA, 1335 nt
Filed under: Prunus dulcis (almond)
Lineage: Eukaryota; Viridiplantae; Streptophyta; Magnoliopsida; Rosales; Rosaceae
Description: sRNA ncRNA
Source: RNAcentral